UACGAUGAGAGUUAACUUGUCGGAAUAUAGGGGAACCAUCCUCUAAGGCUAAGUAUUUAUAAAUUUAGCGAUAGUGAAAAGUACCGUGAGGGAAAAGUUGAAAAGAGUGUAGAAUAAUAUUAGAUGUAGAAAAAGAAAUAAAGAUACAUAGAAUAUUAGUUCUUUCGAAAGUAAAUAACGCAGUGAAACAGAUUUGAAUUAGUAACUCUAUAAGCAGUCAAAAUCAUAAAAUGAAAAUUUAUAACGUGAUAAUGGCGUACCUUUUGCAUAAUGGGUCAGCAAGUUAAUAGGAGUAGCAAGGUUUAAAGCCUAAGCGAAAGCGACUAGGUCAUUUAAAAAAAUGAAAUGGGUUAAGUUACUUCUAUUAGACCCGAAGCCAGGUGAUCUUUCCAAGACCAGAUUAUAAUGGAUCGAACGGGUGAAUGUUGCAUAAUUCUCCGAAGAGUUUUGGAAAGCGGUGAAAUGCCAAUCUGACCUGGUGAUAGCUGGUUUUCUACGAAACAUAUUUUAGUAUGACAUCUAUUCAAUAUUUAUGGAGGUACAGCACGGUAAUUCCAUACAAGUAUUAAAUUUAUUUUUAAUAUGAGUUUAAGUUGCGGGGACUUCGAAAAUCUUACCAAUGGAAAUAAAUCUCGGAAUUACAUAAAUAGAUGAUAGAUAUUCAGACUAUUCAUGAUAAGUUGGAUAGUCAAGACGGAAACAGCCGUGAACACAGAUUAAGGUCCCGAAUGAUUAUUAAGUGAAAUAAAGGAAGUGACAAAUCGAAUGCAGUUGAAAAGUGAGCCUGGUAGUCGCUACUUAUAAUGAACGUGUAUCAACGUAUCAGCCCUUAGAUUGUUGCCCCGAAGAUUUAACGGGUCUAAAUAAUCAACCGAUAUCGUGUUAAUUUUAAAGAUAGAUUCUUAAUAAUAAUUAAUUUUGUUAUUAUAUUUAUAUUUAAAAUUUAGGUAGUAGAACAUUCAGAUAAUUUAUAGAAAUAUAGAAAAACUAUAGAAAUCCAAACCUAAAAUGAACAGUGUUACAUUGUUUAUAGGAAUCUGAAGAGAGAAUGCUGACAUGAGUAACGUAAAAAGAAAGUUUAAACUUUCUCGCCGAAUACGAAAGGGUUAUUAGCUAAAGAUUAGAUCUACUAAUGUUAAUGCGGUCUCUAAGGUACAAAACCAACGUUUUGGCUGAUGAGUUUAGCUUUGAAAGUCCACAUGGAGAAUAAAAUUUUACACAGAAUUUUUUGUAAGAAAUUACAAGAAUAGAAGAUUAUAUUUUAACAAUUUUAAGACAAUUUGCAAAAUUUAAUAUUGAAUUGUUCUGGUAUUAUAUUAUUUGAAUAUUUAAUAUAAUUCUAAUGUUUAUUAGUUUAUUAUUAAUAAAUAUUUUAGUAAAUUUUUAUAUUAAUUGGGGCCAGGAAGAAGAUGUUUAUUUGAAUAACUUCGAAACUAUAUUCUAAUUUAGUCUUAUAUUUUUAGAAACUUAAAGUGAAUAUUUUAAGAUUAUAUUCUAUUAAAAAAAUAUACAUUAUAUUUUUAUAUUUUUAAAUUAGUCACUUAAUUUUAUUUUAAUUUUUGUAUAUUUGUAUAAGCAAAAAAUCCUAAGUUAGUAGAAGUUAAUUUAUUAUUAGAAUUUGGUGAGAGUUGAAUUAUUUUAAUAUUUUAAUGAUUUAGGCUAGUUUUUUUUAAGAAUUAGUUUCUAAGCACAACCGUACCCUAAGCCGACACAGGUUCGUAGGUAGAGUAUACUAAGGCGUAGAGCUAAAAGUUGUUAAGGAACUCGGCAAAUUAUCCUCAUAAGUUCGACAACAAGAGGAACCAUGAAUCUUUUAUAAAUUAAUAACUCCUGUUAAUUUAUUUCUAUGGUGGCACAAAAUCGGAAGCCCCGACUGUUUACUAAAAACACAGCUGUCUGCGAUUAUGAAAAUAAUAGUAUAGAUAGCGAGAUUUGCCCAAUGCCAUAUGAAUAAGUAAAAUAAUGGGUAACUGUUUCUUUAUAAAAAGGUGGUUAAUAGCGGUCUUAACUAUGAGGAUCCUAAGGUAGCAAAAUAAAUUGGCCAUUAAAUGUGGUCCAGUAUCAAUAAUUUAACGAUGGCUUCACUGUCUCUACAACUUGCUCAGUGAAAUUGAAUUACCCGUGCAGAUGCGGGUUGCCUCAAAGAGGACGGGAAGACCCCAUGCAGCUUUACUGUAGCUAGUUAUCACAUAUAAAGUUCUAUUACCUCGGUUAUACAGAUAAUAGGGAGUCGAUUAGACAUUUAUGGAAAACCUUAAGUCUGAGGUGGAACUGGUGUUUAUCUUUUUAUUUAUAAAAUUUAAGAGGAGAUAGUUGACUAGUUGGCAGUUUGACUGGGGCGGUCGUCUUUAAUAGAGUAGCAAAGUACAUCCAAAUAGAUUAAAAAAAAUUAGAUCAUAUUUACUUUUUAAGUAAGGUUAAUAUUCUGACAAAUUAUUUUAUAUUGUAAAUUAUUAUUUAUUAAUAAUUUCUUUAAAAUCAAAUUAUACAAAAUUCAUUAAUAAGGUAUGCUAGACAUUAAAUGGAGGUUAAUGAAUCAUGAAAGAUUCUGGAGAGUGCAAUGACGGUAAGCAUGCUUAACUGAAAGACUUAAUAGUCGAACAGAUACGUAAGUAGGGCAUAGUGACCCCUUGCUAUAUUAUGGAAUAGACAGGGAUCAAUUGAUAAAAGUUACGCUGGGGAUAACAGCCUAAUAGCCAGCGAGAGUACACAUUGUCCUGGCUGUUUGGGACCUCGAUGUCGACUUAAUUUAUCCUCCAGGGGCAAAACCUUGGAAGGGUUCGGCUGUUCGCCGAUUAAAAAAUUACAUGAGUUGGGUUUAAUACGACGUGAGUCAGUAUGGUCCCUAUCCUUUUGAGGGACAAAUAGUAAAAAGGGGCAGACCUUCUAGUACGAAAGGACCAAUAGGCUGUGUUUCUCUAGUGUACCAAUUGUAAUAUUUAUGGAAUUUAUAAAAAUUUAGAUGGAAACAACUGAUUUAAGUAAAUGAAAUAAAAUUUGCAUAGUUGGGUAGCCACAAACAUAUUAGAUAAUUACUGAAAGUAUAUCAAGUUCGAAUCUAUCCCCCAGAUACUAUCAAUGGAUUUCUCUUU
Molecule: ribosomal RNA, 3092 nt
Organism: Paxillus involutus ATCC 200175
Lineage: Eukaryota; Fungi; Basidiomycota; Agaricomycetes; Boletales; Paxillaceae
Rfam family: Bacterial large subunit ribosomal RNA
Source: Rfam